AACAACGGGUUUUUGUUGUUGUUGUUGUUGUUUUUGUUUUGUUUUGUUUUGUUUUUUUGCAUCAGUGGAGAUUGGUACUAAGUGGUUGCAUAGCUGUGACUAGGGCUAUGACACUACUAAAUCAAAUGCCAGCUUAUUACAAGACAUAAGGAAUCCAUUAAAGUGGCUCAAGCAUGAAUUUCAGCAUAGAAUUGUGGCUCUGCAGAUGGUGAAGAAUCCUAAGAAUGCAUCAGCAGGUAGCUAUAGCACAGAUGAGAGAAUGGGAGUGGACAGUCUAUGAACAGGAGCAAGAUUGAAGAGUCGCUAACUGCAGCAUUGAUAGGACAUGAGGAAGGCCAUAGGUUUUAAAUCAGAAGAUAACAGGCGAAAGCUAAUGACACUAGAAGUGAGAUUAACUGAGAUUAAUUUCUCCAACUUCCGUUUUGAGCAGAAUUAGAAUGCCUGAAGAAAUAGUAAAGAUGAAAAAAAGUGAAGUUGAGAUACGUUACUGGCAAGGACUGAUGGCUUAAGAAGAGAUGUCACUGAUUCUCACAAGCAAACAAAGGACAAAUGCUGACAGCUACCUUCACUUCAAUUGUUAACAAGCAAUUUCCAUCAGCUUUAGUGUGAAAUGGAUCAGCCAAUAUGAACGCAUAUUGUGAAUGACUCACCCUGUAUCAACUGUCUAUACAUGAGUAAAGCCACAUGUCCCCACACUGCUGAUAGUCUUUAUUAUGGGCUUUCUUUAAGGUAAGUGCUUCAAGAACAUAGGGGAAGAAGAAUAGGAAGAGUAAUACUGUGACUUUUCUGUCAGUGUAUUUCAGCAUCUCCUUUUGCCAAACAUCGGAGAAAGGGCCAAGAGAACCGGGUUUACUUAUCAUGGACACGAAAAGAUGGAUGGCAACUGUGCAGAAGAUAAAGCCAGGCUUUUCUCAGAGGUGCACUAAGAGAGAAUGACGCAACAGAUGCAACUGGAAAUUCUGCUGGAAAUACCUGGAUUAGCACUGGAAAAUGUUGUCUGUAGAACCUCCAGUGUAGGGGAUUUUCAAAACUCAGCUGAACAAGGUUGUGAACAACCUGAUCUACAGUUGAAGUUCACCCUGCUUUGAGCAGGAGGUUGAACUUGGUCUUGGUGGCUUUCAGAGGUCCCAGAGGGAUAUUUAUAAAUAAACAGCAGCAGAAUGACUAACACAUUAGAAAGAAGAGCUUUUGUUACAGACAACAUCGCUGCAAAUAAUAUUAUCUUCACACACUGAUAUAGUGCAAGUUACUUUAAACAAGUAUGACACUGUCAGACAUACAAGCCCAUUAAAACAUUCUGGAACUCUUGCUAGUACUGUUUGCUAAUAAUCUUGUACACUGGACUUAUUUCAACUCAUUAGAAGCUUUAUAAGCUUAUUUUUAUAAUAUUUAUAACUAUACUUCAUGGAAAAAAAAAUGGACUACACUUCUGGAAGAAAAAGAUAAUCUGAGAAUUAAUUAAAAAAUAAAUCUUUUUAACUAUUAAAAAAAAAAAAAAAAGAAGUUUAACAAAAGCUAAAGAAUGUCUUAAAGAUAGACCUUGAUCAAUCCUUCACUUCAGCUGUGUUAGGUCUCUUGACAAUAAUUUGCUUUAGUUCUGAUGAGAGGUCCAUCUAAAAGUGUGUGGGCAAGCUGAGUAGUUUAGAGACACUUCAGAUAUGUUCAGAAAUGUUCAUAACCAAAGCACAGGCUUUCAGGAUACUGUUCUGCCCUGGUAUCUCUGUUUAUUCAUUACAAGUGUGAGUAUGUUACCAAUGAAAUAUAACUAGUUCUGUGCAACACCUUAAACCACUUUUUUCAUCUUUGCUCAAAUUGUGUCCUCCUGAAAUUUUGAUACAGCGACUUUCUUCUCAUGUGGUAAAAGUUGUAUCAUAUAAUAUUAUCAAUUACAUUCCCAAAUUGUAACAAAAUGAAUUCUCGAUGUAUUACACAUCCAAUAAAAAG
RNAcentral lists this long non-coding RNA (1944 nucleotides) under Gallus gallus (chicken). RNAcentral describes it as "lncRNA (ENSGALG00010000990.1)". Lineage: Eukaryota; Metazoa; Chordata; Aves; Galliformes; Phasianidae. The record is from RNAcentral.